GACGAACGCUGGCGGCGUGCUUAACACAUGCAAGUCGACCGGAAAGGCCCUGCUUUUGUGGGGUGCUCGAGUGGCGAACGGGUGAGUAACACGUGAGUAACCUGCCCUUGACUUUGUGAUAACUUCAGAAAACUAGGGCUAAUACCGAAUAGAAGCUCCUGCUGCAUGGUGGGGGUUGGAAAGUUUCGGCGGUUGGGGAUGGACUCGCGGCUUAUCAGCUUGUUGGUGGGGUAGUGGCUUACCAAGGCUUUGACGGGUAGCCGGCCUGAGAGGGUGACCGGCCACAUUGGGACUGAGAUACGGCCCAGACUCCUACGGGAGGCAGCAGUGGGGAAUAUUGCACAAUGGGCGGAAGCCUGAUGCAGCAACGCCGCGUGCGGGAUGACGGCCUUCGGGUUGUAAACCGCUUUCGCCUGUGACGAAGCGUGAGUGACGGUAAUGGGUAAAGAAGCACCGGCUAACUACGUG
Molecule: ribosomal RNA, 468 nt
Filed under: uncultured bacterium
Lineage: Bacteria
Description: partial 16S ribosomal RNA
Rfam family: Bacterial small subunit ribosomal RNA
Source: RNAcentral